AACGAACGCUGGCGGCAUGCCUAACACAUGCAAGUCGAGCGAGACCUUCGGGUCUAGUGGCGCACGGGUGCGUAACGCGUGGGAAUCUACCCUUGGGUUCGGAAUAACAGCUAGAAAUGACUGCUAAUACCGGAUGAUGACGUAAGUCCAAAGAUUUAUCGCCCAAGGAUGAGCCCGCGUAAGAUUAGCUUGUUGGUGGGGUAAUGGCCUACCAAGGCGACGAUCUUUAGCUGGUCUGAGAGGAUGAUCAGCCACACUGGGACUGAGACACGGCCCAGACUCCUACGGGAGGCAGCAGUGGGGAAUAUUGGACAAUGGGCGAAAGCCUGAUCCAGCAAUGCCGCGUGAGUGAUGAAGGCCUUAGGGUUGUAAAGCUCUUUUACCAGGGAUGAUAAUGACAGUACCUGGAGAAUAAGCUCCGGCUAACUCCGUGCCAGCCGCCGCAGUAA
This 449-nucleotide ribosomal RNA is filed under the name uncultured bacterium. RNAcentral's name for it is "partial 16S ribosomal RNA". It matches the Rfam family "Bacterial small subunit ribosomal RNA", at positions 29 to 523 of the family's 1533-position model. The record is from RNAcentral.